GCCGGAGUGGUGAAACUGGUAGACGCGCUGGACUCAAAAUCCAGUGUUCCUCUGGAACGUGUGGGUUCGAGUCCCACCUCCGGCACCA
RNAcentral lists this transfer RNA (88 nucleotides) under Candidatus Krumholzibacteriia bacterium. RNAcentral's name for it is "tRNA-Leu". It matches the Rfam family "tRNA". From Rfam's summary of the family: Transfer RNA (tRNA) molecules are approximately 80 nucleotides in length. The record is from RNAcentral. Lineage: Bacteria; Candidatus Krumholzibacteriota; Candidatus Krumholzibacteriia. RNAcentral also lists the same sequence under 2 other names.